AUUGAACGCUGGCGGCAGGCCUAACACAUGCAAGUCGAACGAGUGGCGGACGGGUGAGUAAUGUAUGGGGAACUGCCCGAUCGAGGGGGAUAACUACUGGAAACGGUGGCUAAUACCGCAUACUCUCGGAUGAACCCAUAUGGGAUUAGCUAGUAGGUGGGGUAAUGGCGCACCUAGGCGACGAGCUAUAGCUGGUCGGAGAGGAUGAUCAGACACACUGGAACGGAGACACGGCCCAGACUCCAACGUGAGGCAGCAGUGGGGAAGAUUGCAAAAUGGGCGCAAGCCUGAUGCAGCCAUGCCGCGGGUAUGAAGAAGGCUUUAGGGUUGUAAAGUACUUUAAGCGGGGAGGCGUUACCCGCAGAAGAAGCACCGGCUAACUCCGUGCCAGCAGCCGCGGUAAUAC
RNAcentral lists this ribosomal RNA (406 nucleotides) under uncultured bacterium. Its description in RNAcentral is "partial 16S ribosomal RNA". It matches the Rfam family "Bacterial small subunit ribosomal RNA", at positions 29 to 526 of the family's 1533-position model. The record is from RNAcentral.